RNAcentral lists this long non-coding RNA (730 nucleotides) under Heterocephalus glaber (naked mole-rat). Its description in RNAcentral is "lncRNA (ENSHGLG00000044466.1)". Lineage: Eukaryota; Metazoa; Chordata; Mammalia; Rodentia; Bathyergidae. The record is from RNAcentral.
CUCGAGAGAGCAGCCGGGACCCACCAAAAGGAUUUUGUGCUUUUACCCCAAAUGUUCUGUCCUUGGCCAGCGCAAAAUGCAAAAAGAAUAUGGACACAAUCCUCUCUUGCAGCUAGACAGGGCCAUGUGACCAGAUCUGACCAAAGGGCAAGAAGUAGAAGAGACCUGUGCCACUUUGGGACCUAAGAGAGGACCUGGUGACAUCUCUUUCCACUGAAUAAGCAAAUCUCCUCUAUCCUCACCGACCCUUCCCUACUCGGUGGCAGACUAAACUGCACAGGCAAGGCCUUGGUGGCACCCAGUCAGGUAAGACAUGGCUUCAAGACUAUCAGGAUCCUUCGGCAGGGUGCAGAUAGAGACACUGCCACUGAUGUCAUCUGAGUCAAGUUGGCAAUUCAGGGGAAUGAGAGGGAUGGUGACCCACAGUGGUGUUGAAGAGGACCUGAAGGAGGAGAUGCCAGAUAAGGCUGCAAGGAUCCAGUCCUUACUCCCAGCCUUGAUUCUUAGCCAGGGCUCACAAGAAAACCCAUGAGGAGGAGUCACCUGUGUGGCUUUGGAGAGCAGGCUUAGGCAGUGGUGGCAAAAGGGAGCCUGGGUCUUCUCCAGAUCAGGCAGAAGUUGCAAAGUGGAGCAGCGGGGAUUACACAUCAGGAAGCAAAUCUGAUAUCAAGGACAGAGAGGAAGCACUGGACCUCUGUGAUCAGGGAGCAUUGCCACAGUGCAGAGGCCC